This 268-nucleotide non-coding RNA is filed under the name Brevibacillus brevis. Its description in RNAcentral is "T-box sequence". It matches the Rfam family "T-box leader". Rfam says of the family: Uncharged tRNA acts as the effector for transcription antitermination of genes in the T-box leader family. T-boxes are found upstream of many aminoacyl-tRNA synthetase genes and some amino acid biosynthetic genes usually in Gram-positive bacteria. Lineage: Bacteria; Bacillati; Bacillota; Bacilli; Caryophanales; Paenibacillaceae. The record is from RNAcentral.
UCAUUGACGAUGAACGGGAAGAGUACGUGAGCCAGCACUGCCUAGAGAGUCGGGAAAAGGUGAAAACCCGGCCAGUUGCUUUCGCAGAAAAUCACCCGGGAGUUCAAUAUCCGAAAACCGGUGAACCUUGAUGGUUGAACAGGUGAGUAAGUGAGCGCGUCAUUCCCGUUACGAAUGAGUGAAGUGGAACGAAUCCGAUGCAGGCUUUUUUGUCGUACGGGUUUGUUCAAUCAGGGUGGUACCACGGGAGCUUUCUCUCGUCCCUUUU